This 250-nucleotide ribosomal RNA is filed under the name uncultured bacterium. RNAcentral describes it as "partial 16S ribosomal RNA". It matches the Rfam family "Bacterial small subunit ribosomal RNA", at positions 28 to 277 of the family's 1533-position model. The record is from RNAcentral.
GAUAAACGCUGGCGGCGUGCUUAACACAUGCAAGUCGAACGAAGUUUUUCUUUCGGGAGGAACUUAGUGGCGGACGGGUGAGUAACGCGUGGGUAACCUGCCCUGUACAGGGGGACAACAGCUGGAAACGGCUGCUAAUACCGCAUAAGCCCUUAGCACUGCAUGGUGCAUAGGGAAAAGGAGCAAUCCGGUACAGGAUGGACCCGCGUCUGAUUAGCCAGUUGGCAGGGUAACGGCCUACCAAAGCGAC